Long non-coding RNA from Clarias gariepinus (North African catfish), 1015 nucleotides. RefSeq lists it as uncharacterized. The transcript has 4 exons. The record is from RefSeq and is a predicted model, not a curated record. Lineage: Eukaryota; Metazoa; Chordata; Actinopteri; Siluriformes; Clariidae.
AACAAACUCACACAUUCCUUUACAACUAACUUUGCUAAGAGUUUAAUUUACAGAUUGAUACUUCAGUUGUCAGAGAACUAGAUGAAACGCCUUGCACGCUACAUACCACUGUAUGGAGACAGGAUCACUACAAGGCCGUACUGUCUGGACAAACAGAAAAAGAAAAGAAGAGAACUGUUAGAAGAUGUCCCUUCUUAAAAAACUGCAAAAGAAAAUGAGGACAACAAAAACAAGCCUUGAUGAGGAAACUACAGAGGAAAGUAGGCCAACGAAAAAAGGAAGCAAGAAAAGAAAUGCUACCAAGUCUUCAAGAAAAAUCGAGAUGGGGGGAUUCAUGAGGAAAAGCAAGUCAGAAAACGCUGUGGUGGGGGAACCAGAAUUCUUAAUAUAUCCAAGGACUCAACCAAGAAAGAUCUUAUGUCUCAUGCCAAGGAACUAUUUUUUCCACAUGGCUUUCCACGUUAGUGCUUCAGACCAUAAGCCUGAUGCUCGGUGAGACGGAGAAAGGAGCUGCUCGCUUUAGCGCACUAACGUCCAAGCAGGGAAGCGUGACUGCAGACUUGCUCUUGGCUUUGGUGUGUGUGAUCCUGAGCUAAAGCCUUACAACUGCAAUUCUACAUCUCACACAGAGUCAGAGUCUCCCUUGAGCCCGUCUCAGGCUGUCCUCCUGUACCAGCGGUGCCACUUGCUCCUGACCUGCAUGCAGCACAACCCCUGUGUGAACACCUCCAUUAUUACAGAACUUAAAGAAGAGUUCAGGUGAGAGAGUCUGUUGUGGACGACUGGGUUUUAUAAGACGGUGUACAAGCCGAGACAAACAAAUGAGCUACUAGUAUCAGAUUUAGAUCACCAGAUAACCAAUGAGAUCCAAUCCUUCUCCAAAAGAGUUCGACUGAUCCAAAUGAUCGUCCAUUUACUGCAGUAUUUUAAUAAUCUGAUUAUCAGAAAAAUCACAGUUAACACAAUUCACAUUCAUCACAAAAUAAGUGCACUUACAGAAAGGUGACGCAUUAAA